RNAcentral lists this long non-coding RNA (806 nucleotides) under Homo sapiens (human). RNAcentral's name for it is "HSALNT0096500". Lineage: Eukaryota; Metazoa; Chordata; Mammalia; Primates; Hominidae. The record is from RNAcentral.
UCCGGACAUCUCAUAGAAGUGGAAUCAUGCAAUGUGUCAUCUUUGGUGACUGGCCUCUUUCACUCAGCAUCAAGUUUUCAAGGUGCAGAAUAAGGUAGCUAUGGGCACCUCCUUCCAUAGACCCUCCAGGAGCAUCUGCUUCCAGUCCUGCCUGGGCACUGAACAUACUCCUUCCUCAGAUGGACUGGGUUCCUCUUCUCCUCGAAGUCCCUUCUGAAUUUCCAUUUUCCCAGUUGUGAAGGGUGUGAUUCCUAGAGCAAAGCCCUUACUUGAGAAAUAAUAGUGGUUUUGUUUCCCUACGGGAACUCUGACUGUUUCACCCCAUGUUCUGCCUCUUCCUUUUUUAAAAAUAAUUGUGGUUAAAUACAAAUAGCAUGAAAUGUAGUGUGUUAACCACUUUGACGUGUAUAAUUUAGUGGCAUUAAGUACAACUCAUCUUGUGCAACCAAUCUGCAGAACUAUUUUCAUCCUGCAAAACUGAAACUCUGUACCCAUUAACAAGAAAUCUCCACUCCUCCCAGCCCCCCACUCUUCCACUUUCCUCUCUCUAUGAGUUUGACUACUUCAGGUGCCUCGCAUACCUGGAAUCAGGCAGUAUUUGUCUUUUUGUGACUGGCUUGUUUCACUUAGCUUAACGUCCUCAAGGCUCGUCCACAGUAACAUGUGUCAGAAUUCUCUUUCUUUUUAGGGUUCAAUAAUAUUCCAUUGUGUGUAUUUGCUACAUUUUGUUUAUCCAUUCAUCCACGGAUGGACACAAGUUGUGUUCGCCUCUUGGCUGUUGUGAGUAGUGCUGCUCCUCUGUCCUU